This is a long non-coding RNA of Canis lupus familiaris (dog), 1720 nucleotides long. RefSeq lists it as uncharacterized. The record is from RefSeq and is a predicted model, not a curated record. NCBI's taxonomy places the organism in Eukaryota, Metazoa, Chordata, Mammalia, Carnivora, Canidae. The transcript has 3 exons.
AAUUACCCUGGUCAUCUCGCCACACGGAGAGUCUUAACAGCAGGCCUCCUUCUCUCUCCAUGGGUAGGCUGGUGUUCUCUCAGGAGUACAGCGACAGCUCCAAUAUCCAGGUGCCCAGUGGAGACUGGAGCUUAAGAUUUUUGAAGUUAGAAAACUGUCAAGUGGGAGGUUAUAAGCAGUUUCUGCCUUAUUGGCUGGAAAUUGAUAUUUGUUUGGGGGCAGACCUUUCUUUAUUCUAAGAGGGACGACGUGGAGACUCUACUCUGUAACUGGCACAGAUGUCAGGCAAAUAGAUACAAAGAGAAUCAUCAAAUAAUACUCUGAACUUGAUGGGAUGCUGAUGAUCAGAUGAUGAAAAUCCUUCUGAAUAUCAGCAAGACUAAGACACUUCAGACAAAAGCUCUCUUGUCGACAUUCUUUAUAUACGUAUGGGAAUUGAGAGGCAUAAUGAUGCCAAGGAAAGUCAUUUGUACAUUUCUACUUCUAAUAUUUUUAUAAGAUGCUACUUUUUCACUGUUUAAACUGGAAGUGACUUGGAAACCUAUGCCAUUGAAUGCAAUAUAGAAUCCAGUAAUCGAGAGUCCUGGCCUCAUUAUUUACAUGACAUUAAUAUGAACCCAGGAAAUGUGAGCGGGACACAAUUUAUUACUUUUACUUUAUUUGUCCCUGCCUCAAAAACCCCAGCCCUCUGUCUUUGAUUAGGGCUGGGAAUUGUUGGGAGUUUGUUGUCUAUAAAAUGCUUGGGAAAACAAAGGUUAGAUACAUUGCGGGUGCGGGGGGAAGCAUUAUGUGAACAGUAAGUACACACGCAACUUGAGUGUCAUUCAUCAUUGCCAAGUCAUUCUCAAAGUGGCAAAUUUUCUUCUGCUUAUAUGAAAAAUAUAGACUGGCAAUCAACUUAAUUGUAACAACUGGAUGAUUUUUCAGAGGCUUCAGCUAUGAUUACUUCUCCUUCAAAAAUUUACAUUGAAUGAAAAUGACACCAUAAUGCCUGAAAGUAUAAUAAGUAAUAGACUCAAGAAAAAUUAUGACUCUCUAGAGACUAUUAAAAAUCUAUAAACAUUUUUGUACAGCAAAUGAACCAUUUUAAAAAUCAGCUUUUAUAAAACAUUUUCAUGAGAUCUUCUAAGUCUUCAUAUGAUUUAAAUUAAACUGCCUUGGUAAAAAUCAGAGAUUAUAUCUGACACUUUUUUUUUUUUUUUGGUCUAAUGUAAAAGUAGAAGAUCCUCUGAUUUAUAAUGUGUUGUUUAGCAAGGUUGAUUAAAUCUAGUGAUAAUCCUUGAUUAAACCAUUUAACUCUUUAGUCUUUACUCACAAAGAGAAAGCCAAAACAGCUAAGUGAAACAUGAAAUGAUCAAUGGUCAAAUACAGUAACAUGAAACAAAUGCAAUAAAAAAGUCAUAUUUAACAUUCUUUACUUAUUCUGAGCUAAUUUUUUUGAAGUACAGUUCAUCUUUCAAUCUUGAGAGACUAAAAUCUAUUACGCAGUCCUUCACAUGACUGAAAAAAGAGUAAGACAUGCUUGCACAUUGUUCCUUGCCUUCAUUUGAAACAAUUUUUUCAUAUUUCUUGUAUUGAUGAGACAAACCAUAUUAAUGGGCAAAAUUAAAGUAGCUGGAAUAUUUGUUUUUAUGGUUAAAUAUAACAUUUCCAACCUUUAAAAUAGUUUUUGCUUCAACACUAAAAAUUCAUGACCUAUGAAUGCUAUUUAUCAUGCCAU